UAAUUAUAAGUAAAAUCUGCUCCAUGUUUAUAAAUAGCCGCAGAAUAACUGUGCUAAGGUAGCAUAAUCAUUUGUCUCUUAAUUUGGGACCAGAAUGAAUGAUUUAACAUUUUAAUUAAUUUUUUUAUACAAAAAAUUUAAAUUUAACUAAGAAUAAAAAUGUUCUUAUUCAUAAAAAAGACGAUAAGACCCUACUGAACUUUACUAAAGUUAAGCUGGGGAAGCUAAUUAAAAAUAAUUUUAAUUUUUUUUAUUAAUAUAAAAAGCCAAUAAUAUUGAUUUAAACAAGUUACCAUAGGGAUAACAGCGUAAUAAUUUUUAAAAGCUCAUAUUUAAAAAAUAGAUUACGACCUCGAUGUUGAAUUAAUUUUCCUAAAAAACGCAACCGUUAAAAAGGGGGUCUGU
This 405-nucleotide ribosomal RNA is filed under the name Pacifiphantes zakharovi. RNAcentral's name for it is "partial 16S ribosomal RNA". Lineage: Eukaryota; Metazoa; Arthropoda; Arachnida; Araneae; Linyphiidae. The record is from RNAcentral.